UGUCCGUAUUUGUCCUUUGUGCGUAAACCCCAAAUGAAAGUCGAACCUCCCAGAAUGUUCCAGUUCUACAUUACCAGACCAGUGGGUAUGACUGGAUUCUCGUAGAUUAUAUUUUUCCACCUGUUUUUAAAAUACGAUGUUAUUUUUGUAAUAUUAUGGCUUUAUUCUCAUAAAAUUAUGACAACUUUAAUCUCAUAAA
Long non-coding RNA from Sphaeramia orbicularis (orbiculate cardinalfish), 199 nucleotides. RefSeq lists it as uncharacterized. The record is from RefSeq and is a predicted model, not a curated record. The transcript has 3 exons. Lineage: Eukaryota; Metazoa; Chordata; Actinopteri; Kurtiformes; Apogonidae.